GAACGCGAAGAACCUUACCUGGUCUUGACAUGUACGGAAUCCUCCAGAGACGGAGGAGUGCCUUCGGGAGCCGUAACACAGGUGCUGCAUGGCUGUCGUCAGCUCGUGUCGUGAGAUGUUGGGUUAAGCCCCGCAACGAGCGCAACCCUUGUCAUUAGUUGCCAUCAUUUAGUUGGGCACUCUAAUGAGACUGCCGGUGACAAGCCGGAGGAAGGUGGGGAUGACGUCAAGUCCUCAUGGCCCUUAUGACCAGGGCUUCACACGUCAUACAAUGGUCGGUACAGAGGGUAGCCAAGCCGCGAGGUGGAGCCAAUCUCAUAAAACCGAUCGUAGUCCGGAUUGCACUCUGCAACUCGAGUGCAUGAAGUCGGAAUCGCUAGUAAUCGCAGGUCAGCAUACUGCGGUGAAUACGUUCCCGGGUCUUGUACACACC
This 433-nucleotide ribosomal RNA is filed under the name uncultured bacterium. RNAcentral describes it as "bacterial SSU rRNA". It matches the Rfam family "Bacterial small subunit ribosomal RNA", at positions 957 to 1391 of the family's 1533-position model. The record is from RNAcentral.